UGUGAUUUUCCAUGUCUUUGCUUUCAUCCAAUAAGUGUUGAGUCAUUUUCUACUCACAAAAUCUACCUGAUGCCAUUUCCAAAUCCUUUAAAAAGAGGUGUUCGGAGGAGCAUCUUAUACUACCUGUAGAUACAUCCUUAGACAUAAAGAAUCCUUUAGUCCAUGAAAUCAGAUUUACUUUUGGAUGAAACCUUGUUUGCUGCUCUGUUCACACUGCUGUCUCUGACUAAUCUUACUCCAUGUAUGCUUCAAAUGAGCCACAGAAAGAGCUUUUAGAUCAAAGCAGUAGUGUGAAUUGUCAAAAAGACAUCAGGUUCCGCAAGAAAGCAAGACGGAGCUUAGACUCUCUGUAAUGAGGAACAGUAUUUCUGCAAGAUGUAAAGCUGUCUUCUGCUAGGAAGAUUCCAGAGUUAGAAUCAUGGAAAGCCUGGUUAAAACAAAGCUAAAUAAUGUUGUAUGGAGGUAUGUGUCUAUAACUCUAAGAGAAGACAAAGUAUUAUUACACAGUAAUCUGUUUGACUAUGGAAUUCUGUUCUAGUAGAACACCUACUAACAGGCAAUGGAACUAGGGUUUGGGGGGAUACAGCUUAAGUAUCAACAUUUGCGUUCAAAUAUAAAUACAAAAAUCAAUUCAAUAAUACAUACAAAGCCUUUGGGUCUUCUUUAUUGCUGUUCUCCCCACCAGGGAGUUGAAGUUGAUUGGAG
Molecule: long non-coding RNA, 705 nt
Filed under: Homo sapiens (human)
Lineage: Eukaryota; Metazoa; Chordata; Mammalia; Primates; Hominidae
Description: long non-coding RNA NONHSAT214776
Source: RNAcentral